Gasterosteus aculeatus aculeatus (three-spined stickleback) is the source of this 751-nucleotide long non-coding RNA. NCBI's taxonomy places the organism in Eukaryota, Metazoa, Chordata, Actinopteri, Perciformes, Gasterosteidae. The record is from Ensembl.
CCCUGGGUGACGACGGCAGCAAUGGAACUUUGGCUGACGGCUACACGGGCAACGGCACCCUGGGCGACGACGGCAACGUGACUUUUGCUGACGUCUACACUGGCAACGGCACCCUGGCCGACGUCGAGACGGGCAACGGAACUUUGGCAGAUGGCAACGACACCCUGGGCGACGACGGAAACGUGACUUUGGCUGACGGCUACACGGGCAACGGCACCCUGGGCGACGACGGCAGCAAUGGAACUUUGGCUGAUGGCUACACGGGCAACGGCACCCUGGGCGACGACGGCAACGUGACUUUUGCUGACGUCUACACUGGCAACGGUACCCUGGCCGACGUCGAGACGGGCAACGGAACUUUGGCAGAUGGCAACGGCACCCUGGGCGACGACGGCAGCAAUGGAACUUUGGCUGACGGCUACACGGGCAACGGCAACCUGGGCGACGUCGACACGGGCAACGGAACUUUGGCAGAUGGCAACGGCACCCUGUCCGACGUCUACACCCGCAACGGCACCCUGGGCGACGAUGGCAGCAAUGGUACUUUGGCAGAUGGCUACGCAGGCAACGGCACCCUGGGCGACGACUGCAACGAGACUUUGGCUGACGUCUACGCGGGCAACGGCACCCUGGGCGACGACACCCGCAACGGCACCCUGGGCGACGACGGCAGCAAUGGAACUUUGGCUGACGUCUACACUGGCAACGGCACCCUGGGCGACGACGGCAGCAAUGGAACUUUGGCUGACGG